UUAAGCGACUAAGCGUACACGGUGGAUGCCCUGGCAGUCAGAGGCGAUGAAGGGCGUGCUAAUCUGCGAUAAGCGCCGGUAAGGUGAUAUGAACCGUUAUAACCGGCGAUACCCGAAUGGGGAAACCCAGUGUGAUUCGUCACACUAUCAUUAACUGAAUCCAUAGGUUAAUGAGGCGAACCGGGGGAACUGAAACAUCUAAGUACCCUGAGGAAAAGAAAUCAACCGAGAUUCCCCCAGUAGCGGCGAGCGAACGGGGAGGAGCCCAGAGCCUGAAUCAGCAUGUGUGUUAGUGGAAGCGUCUGGAAAGGCGCGCGAUACAGGGUGACAGCCCCGUACACAAAAGCGCAUGUGCUGUGAGCUCGAUGAGUAGGGCGGGACACGUGGUAUCCUGUCUGAAUAUGGGGGGACCAUCCUCCAAGGCUAAAUACUCCUGACUGACCGAUAGUGAACCAGUACCGUGAGGGAAAGGCGAAAAGAACCCCGGCGAGGGGAGUGAAAAAGAACCUGAAACCGUGUACGUACAAGCAGUGGGAGCACCCUUCGGGGUGUGACUGCGUACCUUUUGUAUAAUGGGUCAGCGACUUAUAUUCUGUAGCAAGGUUAACCGUAUAGGGGAGCCGGAGGGAAACCGAGUCUUAACCGGGCGUUAAGUUGCAGGGUAUAGACCCGAAACCCGGUGAUCUAGCCAUGGGCAGGUUGAAGGUUGGGUAACACUAACUGGAGGACCGAACCGACUAAUGUUGAAAAAUUAGCGGAUGACCUGUGGCUGGGGGUGAAAGGCCAAUCAAACCGGGAGAUAGCUGGUUCUCCCCGAAAGCUAUUUAGGUAGCGCCUCGUGAAUUCAUCUCCGGGGGUAGAGCACUGUUUCGGCUAGGGGGCCAUCCCGGCUUACCAACCCGAUGCAAACUGCGAAUACCGGAGAAUGUUAUCACGGGAGACACACGGCGGGUGCUAACGUCCGUCGUGAAGAGGGAAACAACCCAGACCGCCAGCUAAGGUCCCAAAGUCAUGGUUAAGUGGGAAACGAUGUGGGAAGGCCCAGACAGCCAGGAUGUUGGCUUAGAAGCAGCCAUCAUUUAAAGAAAGCGUAAUAGCUCACUGGUCGAGUCGGCCUGCGCGGAAGAUGUAACGGGGCUAAACCAUGCACCGAAGCUGCGGCAGCGAACGUAUCACCCAAGACAACUUUACGGAGUUGACGAUUGACGGAGCGAAGCGACGUCAAAGCGUUCAUUAAAGUCGAGUUGGCUUAGGGAUACGUUCGUUGGGUAGGGGAGCGUUCUGUAAGCCUGUGAAGGUGUGUCGUGAGGCAUGCUGGAGGUAUCAGAAGUGCGAAUGCUGACAUAAGUAACGAUAAAGCGGGUGAAAAGCCCGCUCGCCGGAAGACCAAGGGUUCCUGUCCAACGUUAAUCGGGGCAGGGUGAGUCGACCCCUAAGGCGAGGCCGAAAGGCGUAGUCGAUGGGAAACGGGUUAAUAUUCCCGUACUUGGUGUUACUGCGAAGGGGGGACGGAGAAGGCUAUGUUGGCCGGGCGACGGUUGUCCCGGUUUAAGCGUGUAGGUGUGUGUUCCAGGUAAAUCCGGUUCACUUUAACACUGAGGCGUGACGACGAGGCACUACGGUGCUGAAGCAACAAAUGCCCUGCUUCCAGGAAAAGCCUCUAAGCAUCAGGUAACAUCAAAUCGUACCCCAAACCGACACAGGUGGUCAGGUAGAGAAUACCAAGGCGCUUGAGAGAACUCGGGUGAAGGAACUAGGCAAAAUGGUGCCGUAACUUCGGGAGAAGGCACGCUGACACGUAGGUGAAGUGAUUUACUCAUGGAGCUGAAGUCAGUCGAAGAUACCAGCUGGCUGCAACUGUUUAUUAAAAACACAGCACUGUGCAAACACGAAAGUGGACGUAUACGGUGUGACGCCUGCCCGGUGCCGGAAGGUUAAUUGAUGGGGUCAGCGCAAGCGAAGCUCCUGAUCGAAGCCCCGGUAAACGGCGGCCGUAACUAUAACGGUCCUAAGGUAGCGAAAUUCCUUGUCGGGUAAGUUCCGACCUGCACGAAUGGCGUAAUGAUGGCCAGGCUGUCUCCACCCGAGACUCAGUGAAAUUGAACUCGCUGUGAAGAUGCAGUGUACCCGCGGCAAGACGGAAAGACCCCGUGAACCUUUACUAUAGCUUGACACUGAACAUUGAGCCUUGAUGUGUAGGAUAGGUGGGAGGCUUUGAAGUGUGGACGCCAGUCUGCAUGGAGCCGACCUUGAAAUACCACCCUUUAAUGUUUGAUGUUCUAACGUGGACCCGUUACCCGGGUUGCGGACAGUGUCUGGUGGGUAGUUUGACUGGGGCGGUCUCCUCCUAAAGAGUAACGGAGGAGCACGAAGGUUGGCUAAUCCUGGUCGGACAUCAGGAGGUUAGUGCAAUGGCAUAAGCCAGCUUGACUGCGAGCGUGACGGCGCGAGCAGGUGCGAAAGCAGGUCAUAGUGAUCCGGUGGUUCUGAAUGGAAGGGCCAUCGCUCAACGGAUAAAAGGUACUCCGGGGAUAACAGGCUGAUACCGCCCAAGAGUUCAUAUCGACGGCGGUGUUUGGCACCUCGAUGUCGGCUCAUCACAUCCUGGGGCUGAAGUAGGUCCCAAGGGUAUGGCUGUUCGCCAUUUAAAGUGGUACGCGAGCUGGGUUUAGAACGUCGUGAGACAGUUCGGUCCCUAUCUGCCGUGGGCGCUGGAGAACUGAGGGGGGCUGCUCCUAGUACGAGAGGACCGGAGUGGACGCAUCACUGGUGUUCGGGUUGUCAUGCCAAUGGCACUGCCCGGUAGCUAAAUGCGGAAGAGAUAAGUGCUGAAAGCAUCUAAGCACGAAACUUGCCCCGAGAUGAGUUCUCCCUGAGACUUAGAGUCUCCUGAAGGAACGUUGAAGACGACGACGUUGAUAGGCCGGGUGUGUAAGCGCAGCGAUGCGUUGAGCUAACCGGUACUAAUGAACCGUGAGGCUUAACCUU
RNAcentral lists this ribosomal RNA (2988 nucleotides) under Salmonella enterica subsp. enterica serovar Typhimurium str. UK-1. RNAcentral describes it as "bacterial LSU rRNA". It matches the Rfam family "Bacterial large subunit ribosomal RNA". The record is from RNAcentral. Lineage: Bacteria; Pseudomonadati; Pseudomonadota; Gammaproteobacteria; Enterobacterales; Enterobacteriaceae.